UACGGAGGGUGCAAGCGUUGUCCGGAUUUAUUGGGUUUAAAGGGUACGUAGGCGGAUAUUUAAGUCAGUGGUGAAAUCCCGCAGCUCAACUGUGGAACUGCCAUUGAUACUGGAUAUCUUGAGUACGCUUGAAGUUGGCGGAAUUCCACAUGUAGCGGUGAAAUGCAUAGAUAUGUGGAGGAACUCCGAUAGUGAAGACAGCCAACUAGAGCGUAACUGACGCUGAGGUACGAAAGCGUGGGUAGCGAACAGG
RNAcentral lists this ribosomal RNA (253 nucleotides) under uncultured bacterium. RNAcentral describes it as "partial 16S ribosomal RNA". It matches the Rfam family "Bacterial small subunit ribosomal RNA", at positions 524 to 776 of the family's 1533-position model. The record is from RNAcentral.